UACGUAGGGGGCUAGCGUUGUCCGGAUUUAUUGGGCGUAAAGAGCUCGUAGGCGGUUCGGUAAGUCGGGUGCGAAAUCUCCACGCUCAACGUGGAGGGGCCACCCGAUACUGCCAUGACUCGAGUCCGGUAGGGGAGUGUGGAAUUCCCGGUGUAGCGGUGAAAUGCGCAGAUAUCGGGAGGAACACCCGUAGCGAAGGCGGCACUCUGGGCCGGUACUGACGCUGAGGAGCGAAAGCGUGGGUAGCAAACAGG
Molecule: ribosomal RNA, 254 nt
Filed under: uncultured bacterium
Lineage: Bacteria
Description: partial 16S ribosomal RNA
Rfam family: Bacterial small subunit ribosomal RNA
Source: RNAcentral